CUUUGUUAUGCAUGAUUUUUCAUGGAUUCUUUUGUCUAUUUUUAUUUUGCUGUGGGUUCCUGCAAGAAAAUGAAUUUCAAGGUUCUGAAGUCCUGUCCUCUCUGCUUCCUGGUCUCCUCCACACUAGCCAUUCUCGACACUGCCAUGUUACACUCUAUGUACAUCCUUGUGAACGUGGCCAUCUUUCCCCAGAAGGCCAGAGAUCCCAAUGGACGGAUGUUGAGUCAGCAGGCUCUGAGGCAAAGACCAGUGAUCCCUGUGGUCAGUGACUGAGAUGGACAAGCGCAGAUGACUGCUGCUUCUGUGCACGUGACCUCCGUCAACAUCAGGGUGGGUUGAUGCUCGGUUCAGCCAUUGGCGUUGAUGAGUCCCUUGGUCGGCAAGUGUCAGGAUUGGAGUUCCGGGUGGUUGAAGCCCAAAGGUCGAAGAUCGAAGUCCGCGAAAGAUGACGAAUCCUGAAGCACCGAGGCUGCUCCCCCGAAAUAAAGCCGCAAGGAAGACUGCACUCGCUACAACAGACUGGUAAAAGAUCUCCAACAUCCUGCUGCACACAUUGGGAUCUCAGCUUCCUUAGAAAAUAGAGUCUGCUCAUCCCCUUCUUGAUGUUGGGUUUCCAGUCAAGUCUAUUGUCGAGGUGAACACCCAAGUAUUUGUACUCCUCCGCCACCACAACCUCUUCUGGCAGAACAUAUACGGGACUCAUCGAAAAACCUCUGAUGGACUUUUUCCAUCAUUCUUAAAUUUAGAAAUAAGUUUUGUAUUAGUACAGCACCUUUCCUCUCUUCCUAAAGCACUAUGUACCUCAUCAAAGAUCAGCUUUAUUCACCAUAUGCACAUAUGCAUAUGUAUUAGGAAUUUACUGUGGUGUGUUGGUGUGACAUGCAACUAAAAACAUUCAACAAUUAUAAAAAUAAACUAUUAUAUAAAAUAAAGUUAGAGGUUCAAGAUACAAAGUAUUCUUGAAAUAUGGUCAUUGUUCACCAUUCAUUUCAUCUCAGCCUCUGCUCACGCUUCCUGUGGACAACUGACCGCUAAGUUCAGGAACAGUUAUUAUCCCUCAACCAUCCAGCUCUUGAACCAAAGGGGACAAUUUCACUCACCCCAUCACUGAACUGUUCCCACAACCUAUGGACUCACUUUCAAGGACACUUCAUGCCAUGUUCUCGAUAUUUCUUUAUUAUUAUUGUUUCAUUCCUUUUGUAUUUGCACAGUUUGUUGUCUUUUACACACUGGUUGAACAUCCAGGUUGGUGCAGUCCUUCAUUGAUUCUAUUAUUGUUAUUAUUGUAUUAUGGACUUAUUGAAAAUGAAUCUCAGGAUUGUAUAUG
Long non-coding RNA from Hypanus sabinus (Atlantic stingray), 1327 nucleotides. RefSeq lists it as uncharacterized. The record is from RefSeq and is a predicted model, not a curated record. Lineage: Eukaryota; Metazoa; Chordata; Chondrichthyes; Myliobatiformes; Dasyatidae. The transcript has 3 exons.